UACGUAGGGUGCAAGCGUUAAUCGGAAUUACUGGGCGUAAAGCGUGCGCAGGCGGUUGUGUAAGACAGAUGUGAAAUCCCCGGGCUCAACCUGGGAACUGCAUUUGUGACUGCACAGCUGGAGUGCGGCAGAGGGGGGAUGGAAUUCCGCGUGUAGCAGUGAAAUGCGUAGAUAUGCGGAGGAACACCGAUGGCGAAGGCAAUCCCCUGGGCCUGCACUGACGCUCAUGCACGAAAGCGUGGGGAGCAAACAGG
This 254-nucleotide ribosomal RNA is filed under the name uncultured bacterium. Its description in RNAcentral is "partial 16S ribosomal RNA". It matches the Rfam family "Bacterial small subunit ribosomal RNA", at positions 524 to 776 of the family's 1533-position model. The record is from RNAcentral.